Oncorhynchus tshawytscha (Chinook salmon) is the source of this 2259-nucleotide long non-coding RNA. Lineage: Eukaryota; Metazoa; Chordata; Actinopteri; Salmoniformes; Salmonidae. The record is from Ensembl.
UCUAGUUGUUUUAUUUUUUAAAUUUACCGAUAGCCAGGGGCACACUACAACACUCAGACAUCAUUUACAGAUAGCCAGGGGUACACUCCAACACUCAGACAUUAUUUACAGAUAGCCAGGGGAACACUCCAACACUCAGACAUCAUUUACAGAUAGCCAGGGGAACACUCCAACACUCAGACAUCAUUUACAGAUAGCCAGGGGAACACUCCAACACUCAGACAUCAUUUACAGAUAGCCAGGGGAACACUCCAACACUCAGACAUAAUUUACAGAUAGCCAGGGGAACACUCCAACACUCAGACAUCAUUUACAGAUAGCCAGGGGAACACUCCAACACUCAGACAUCAUUUACAGAUAGCCAGGGGAACACUCCAACACUCAGACAUCAUUUACAGAUAGCCAGGGGCACACUCCAACACUCAGACAUCAUUUACAGAUAGCCAGGGGUACACUCCAACACUCAGACAUUAUUUACAGAUAGCCAGGGGCACACUACAACACUCCAACACUCAGAUAUUAUUUACAGACAGCCAGGGGAACACUCCAACACUCAGACAUCAUUUACAGAUAGCCAGGGGAACACUCCAACACUCAGACAUCAUUUACAGAUUGCCAGGGGAACACUCCAACACUCAGACAUCAUUUACAGAUUGCCAGGGGAACACUCCAACACUCAGACAUCAUUUACAGAUUGCCAGGGGAACACUCCAACACUCAGACAUCAUUUACAGAUAGCCAGGGGUACACUACAACACUCAGACAUCAUUUACAGAUAGCCAGGGGAACACUCCAACACUCAGACAUCAUUUACAGAUAGCCAGGGGAACACUCAAACACUCAGACAUCAUUUACAGAUAGCCAGGGGUACACUCCAACACUCAGACAUUAUUUACAGAUAGCCAGGGGCACACUCCAACACUCAGACAUCAUUUACAGAUUGCCAGGGGAACACUCCAACACUCAGACAUCAUUUACAGAUAGACAGGGGUACACUACAACACUCAGACAUCAUUUAUAGAUAGCCAGGGGAACACUCCAACACACAGACAUCAUUUACAGAUAGCCAGGGGAACACUCAAACACUCAGGGAACACUCCAACACUCAGACAUCAUUACAGAUAGCUAGGGGUACACUCCAACACUCAGACAUCAUUUACAGAUAGCCAGGGGUACACUCCAACACUCAGACAUAAUUUACUAUAGCCAGGGGAACACUCCAACACUCAGACAUCAUUUACUAUAGCCAGGGGCACACUACAACACUCAGACAUAAUUUACAAAUGAGGCCAGUGUUUAGUGAGUCCGCCAGAUCAGAGGUCGUAGGGUUGACCAGGAAUGUUCUCUUGAUAAGUGAGUGAAUAAGACCAUUUUCCUAUCCUGCUAAGCAUUCAAAAUAUAACGAGUACAUUUUUGUGUCAGGGAAAAUGUAAAAAGUACACACAUUUCUUAAGGAAUGUAAGUGAAGUAAAAGUAAAAUGAGUCAAAAAUAUAAAUAGUAAAGUAAAGUACUUAAGUAGUACUUUCAAGUAUUUUUUACUUAAGUACUUUACACCACUGCCUAUGCCUCACCGGUCUGGAGUAUGUGGUGAGUCAUUCACAAUAUAAUUAUAUUCCUAUGCAUUCUGCUUACAACAAAAUAUCUUUCAUGUUUCAGAAUGUUGCAUCGAAGUGGCUAGUAUUGGCGUUUGAUUCGAUCACAAUUGCAACAGUAAAAGGAAAACGUUGAUAGUGUUAAUUAAAAAGGGGAAAACUCAAGAACAGUUGAAUGAAGUUUAAUCUCCUGCUUCUCUUUGUGGACAGAUAUUUCUUCAGCACUCUAUGUGGCAGUCUCGGGAGCUGUGCGGCAGUCUCGUGGGAGCUGUAGCGGCAUCUCAUGGGAGCUGUGCGGCAGUCUCGUGGGAGCUGUAUGGCAGUCUCAUGGGAGCUGUACGGCAGUCUCGUGGGAGCUGUACGGCAGUCUCAUGGGAGCUGUGCGGCAUCUCGUGGGAGCUGUAAGGCAGUCUCGUGGGAGCUGUAAGGCAGUCUCAUGGGAGCUGUGCGGCAGUCUCGUGGGAGCUGUAUUGCAGUCUCAUGGGAGCUGUACGGCAGUCUUGUGGGAGCUGUACGGCAGUCUCGUGGGAGCUGUUUGGCAGUCUCGUGGGAGCUCUAUGGCAGUCUCAUGGAAGCUGUAAGGCAGUCUCGUGGGAGCUUUGCGGCAGUCUCGUGGGAGCUGUGCGGCAGUCUCGUGGAAGCUGUACGGCAGUCUCGUGGGAGCUG